GCGUAAUUGAGCGAGCUUGGUGUUCCGAAAAGCGCAUCUGCGUGGAACUGAAAAGGGAAUUCGGUAAGGGAUCCAUCGAUCCGGAAGCCGGAGCCGCCCCCGCGACUGUAAGCGGUGAGCCGAUGCCAAUGAUGCCACUUGCCCGGAAGGGUGGGGAAGGCGGGCAGGGGCCACGACCCGCGAGCCAGGAGACCUGCCAGGCGAAGAAACGCAAU
RNAcentral lists this non-coding RNA (215 nucleotides) under Sulfitobacter sp. HI0023. Lineage: Bacteria; Pseudomonadati; Pseudomonadota; Alphaproteobacteria; Rhodobacterales; Roseobacteraceae. RNAcentral also lists the same sequence under 1 other name. The record is from RNAcentral.